Manacus vitellinus (golden-collared manakin) is the source of this 694-nucleotide long non-coding RNA. RefSeq lists it as uncharacterized. Lineage: Eukaryota; Metazoa; Chordata; Aves; Passeriformes; Pipridae. The transcript has 4 exons. The record is from RefSeq and is a predicted model, not a curated record.
ACCUGUCAAGACAAGUGAAGGAAUCCUCUGGAAGCACCUGAAACAGCAGUUGUUAAUAUCAGCUCUAUACACUCCAGCUGUUCUGCAUCUCAUGUGCUCACUCUACCCAAUGAGGAUCAGCUCCUUCACUUAAAGUCUGAAACAGUCCCAGCUGCAGGCAAGCAAACAGAGGAUAAAAGGAGAGUGUGAAACCAACAGCCAGUAAAUGUUUAUGUAACUCAGGGAACCCCUUUACAAGAAAGCAGGCAUGGCAAUCUCCUGGAGGAAGCAAUGGCCCUAGCUGAAAUCUUGGGAAGACUUUAAAAGUGAUCUGAAGGUACCUGUGCAAACAGAUAUUUCUCAGAAGUGUUUGCAUUGCAAGUGACAUCUGGCUGACAGGAAGCUGGAGAAAUGGGAUAUGAAGUGAAUGCUGCAGUUACCACAGUAUCAUAUUUAUCAAAAGGCUUAAGGAGCCCAUGUCUUCGCCACCUUAGUCAUCUUCCCAGCCUUUGGAUGAAGCAUCUGAAUCCCCAACAUUACUUCUGGAGCCAUUUAAAAAACAGACUUCCUAAAAGCCACUGCUGGAUGAUGGUGACUGAUGCUGAAAGUUGUUCUCAAAUGGGAGAUAAUCAGAUCCGAAGAGUAUUUACAGCCCAGGUAAGUCACACAACUGAUUAUAUGCAGUUUUUGGACAGUAUUUAUUGAUGUGAAACUG